Molecule: long non-coding RNA, 105 nt
Organism: Cydia splendana
Lineage: Eukaryota; Metazoa; Arthropoda; Insecta; Lepidoptera; Tortricidae
Exons: 2
Source: RefSeq, a predicted model, not a curated record
CUAUAACCGCGAAAAUCGAAGUUCGCAAAUUGCGGGCAUUUUUCUCUAUCACUCUAAUUACGCCUUUAUUGGAUAAAUAUUCUUUAUUGCACCAAUAAUUAUACA